UGAGCAAUCUGCCCUUCUCAUCGGAAUAAGCGUUGGAAACGACGUCUAAUGCCGAAUACGACCUCCUUUCGCAUGAUCGGAGGUGGAAAGCUCCGGCGGAGAAGGAUGAGCUCGCAGCCUAUCAGCUAGUUGGUGUGGGUAAUGGCCCACCAAGGCGACGACGGGUAGCCGGCCUGAGAGGGUGACCGGCCACACUGGGACUGAGACACGGCCCAGACUCCUAGGGAGG
RNAcentral lists this ribosomal RNA (229 nucleotides) under uncultured bacterium. RNAcentral's name for it is "partial 16S ribosomal RNA". It matches the Rfam family "Bacterial small subunit ribosomal RNA", at positions 118 to 348 of the family's 1533-position model. The record is from RNAcentral.